CGCUUCAUUGCUGUCAGGUGAUACACCUUCACUCGCGCAGCGUGGGCGGAGUCUCGUACCUGUGCUCGUGAGUGCUGUCCGCCAGGUUUGGGCAGUUUGGAUGCAAACAAAACAACGGAUUAUUUACCAAGAGAUAUGCAUGUAUGGACUCAUUUCGAUUAAACACUUCUGAGUGUUUACGCUGCAGAAAACUGACGAGCAACACUACAGUCCUUCAACAAACAGAUGAGGAAGAGGAGGAGGAUGGCGGUCCAGCAUACAAAGAGAAAGAUGCUAAAUUAACCAAGAGAAGUGUCAGCGCUGAAGGAAUGACAGACGUUACUCAGACACCUGUGAACACAGCAGUGUUUGGAGUCCAAGACAGUGAUCUUUAUUAUAUAUUUAUAUAUUUAUUAUACUCCUGACUGGACUAGCAAGGCGUAUUAGAGACAAUGAGAAA
This is a long non-coding RNA of Cyprinus carpio carpio, 439 nucleotides long. The record is from Ensembl. NCBI's taxonomy places the organism in Eukaryota, Metazoa, Chordata, Actinopteri, Cypriniformes, Cyprinidae.